Long non-coding RNA from Rosa rugosa (rugosa rose), 592 nucleotides. RefSeq lists it as uncharacterized. The transcript has 2 exons. Lineage: Eukaryota; Viridiplantae; Streptophyta; Magnoliopsida; Rosales; Rosaceae. The record is from RefSeq and is a predicted model, not a curated record.
GCCCAGCAAAGUAUGGACGGUUCUGAUUUGAUACUUUCUUGGUGUUUUUGGAGGAUUUACAUCCGGUAAAUGACGUUUGAUUCCGGCGAUCUGAGGCAGAGCCUUGUUAUUGAGACGAAGAAUGAUCGCAGCAGAAAGCGAAUGAGAGUCCGGCGGCUCAAGUACAUGUGUCGAACAAGAUCCAGAUGGACGUUAGCGGCGGCGACCAGUAACAGUGCAAACAGGAAGAAACCUAUUGUUUUGCUUUACCUGCGUAGAGAGAUCAUGAACUGGAGAAGCUUUGUAGGAGAAGACAACAGGAGAAAACUACUACACUAAUGCAGAUUGGGAGGUCCUGAACUGUCGUGAAGAAGGUUUAGAUUGGGAGGAAUGAGGAUGAGAGGCUGUGUAGUUGUGGAGCGGAACCAGAUUGCAGAAAAUAAGGGCGUUGAUCUUGGAUCAGUUAAGCAUCUCCUCGCUCAUAUUAAGUAUGAAUUUUUAUCAAAUUCUUGUAUUGAACAACAUCAAAAACCCAAAUCGAUGUUGGUACGAAUACCAGACAAUUGAAUUAAAAGUUCUACUCGAAUUCUGAGGUUAACUGAUGGUAAUACAA